UGGGGAAUAUUGGACAAUGGGCGAAAGCCUGAUCCAGCCAUGCCGCGUGUGUGAAGAAGGUCUUCGGAUUGUAAAGCACUUUAAGUUGGGAGGAAGGGCAGUAAGCGAAUACCUUGCUGUUUUGACGUUACCGACAGAAUAAGCACCGGCUAACUCUGUGCCAGCAGCCGCGGUAAUACAGAGGGUGCAAGCGUUAAUCGGAAUUACUGGGCGUAAAGCGCGCGUAGGUGGUUCGUUAAGUUGAAUGUGAAAGCCCCGGGCUCAACCUUGGAACUGCAACCAAAACUGGCGAGCUAGAGUAGGGCAGAGGGUGGUCGAAUUUCCUGUGUAGCGGUGAAAUGCGUAGAUAUAGGAAGGAACACCAGUGGAGAAGGCGACCACCUGAGCUCAUACUGACACUGAGGUGCGAAAGCGUGGAGAGCAAACAGG
This 429-nucleotide ribosomal RNA is filed under the name Pseudomonadota bacterium. RNAcentral's name for it is "Proteobacteria bacterium partial 16S ribosomal RNA". It matches the Rfam family "Bacterial small subunit ribosomal RNA", at positions 355 to 776 of the family's 1533-position model. The record is from RNAcentral. Lineage: Bacteria; Pseudomonadati; Pseudomonadota.